UUUUUUUUUUUUUUUUGGCUUUAUCAAAUUUUAAAGCAAAAUUGCUUUAGGGCCAAUGCUUGUACUGGUUGGACGUGUAGUAAUAAUUUGAGUGAGACAAUGGCUACCUGCGACAAGUAGAAUGCUUUUACAUUCUUUGCACCGUUUAUAUUUUGGUAUUUUGGGGGGUAUACUGUUACACAUCAGACCUGCACACCUUUGAAACUCAAGAUAACCAGAGAAGA
RNAcentral lists this unclassified non-coding RNA (224 nucleotides) under Hevea brasiliensis (rubber tree). Lineage: Eukaryota; Viridiplantae; Streptophyta; Magnoliopsida; Malpighiales; Euphorbiaceae. The record is from RNAcentral.